This 370-nucleotide ribosomal RNA is filed under the name Protomycocladus faisalabadensis. RNAcentral describes it as "eukaryotic LSU rRNA". It matches the Rfam family "Eukaryotic large subunit ribosomal RNA", at positions 66 to 432 of the family's 3401-position model. Lineage: Eukaryota; Fungi; Mucoromycota; Mucoromycetes; Mucorales; Syncephalastraceae. The record is from RNAcentral.
UAACAAGGAUUCCCCUAGUAACGGCGAGUGAAGAGGGAAGAGCUCAAAGUUAAAACCUGCUAGGUUUGCCUAGCCGGAUUGUAAACUAGAGAGGCAGCUUCCAGGCACGCCGUAUGAUAAAGUCCUUUGGAAUAAGGCACCAUAGAGGGUGAUAGUCCCGUACAUCAUGCGAGUAGUGUCUUUGUGUUGCGCUUCCAACGAGUCAGGUUGUUUGGUAUUGCAGCCUAAAGUGGGUGGUAAACCGCAUCUAAAGCUAAAUAUUGGCGAGAGACCGAUAGCGAACAAGUACCGUGAGGGAAAGAUGAAAAGAACUUUGAAAAGAGAGUUAAACAGUAUGUGAAAUUGCUAGAAGGGAAGCGUUUGAAGUCAG